UACGUAGGCGGCAAGCGUUGUCCGGAUUUACUGGGCGUAAAGGGCGUGCAGGCGGUUUGUUAAGUCUAGGGUGAAAGCUCCCGGCUCAACUGGGAGAGGUCUUUGGAUACUGGCGAACUUGAGGGAUGCAGAGGAAAGUGGAAUUCCCGGUGUAGUGGUGAUAUGCGUAGAUAUCGGGAGGAACACCGGUGGUGUAGACGGCUUUCUGGACCGUAACUGACGCUGAGACACGAAAGCGUGGGUAGCAAACAGG
This 253-nucleotide ribosomal RNA is filed under the name uncultured bacterium. RNAcentral describes it as "partial 16S ribosomal RNA". It matches the Rfam family "Bacterial small subunit ribosomal RNA", at positions 524 to 776 of the family's 1533-position model. The record is from RNAcentral.